CAAUAGCGUAUAUUAAAGUUGUUGCGGUAAAAAAGCUCGUAGUUGGAUUUCUACCGAAGAUAGCCGGUCGGGUCUUCGACCUUGUAUCUGGUUUUGUCUUUGGUAUCCUCAUAGGGAACGUUUCUGCGCUUUAUUGCGUGGUGCGGUAUCUAUGACUUUUACUUUGAGGAAAUUAGAGUGUUCACGGCAGGCAAACGCCUUGAAUAUAUUAGCAUGGAAUAAUAACAUAGGAUCUUCGUCCUAUUUUGUUGGUUUCUAGGGCUAAGAUAAUGAUUAAUAGGGAUAAUUUGGGGCAUCUGUAUCAACGCGUCAGAGGUGGAAUUCUUGGAUUGCGUUGCGACAAACUACUGCGAAAGCAUUUGCCAAGGAUGUUUUCAUUGA
This 381-nucleotide ribosomal RNA is filed under the name uncultured eukaryote. Its description in RNAcentral is "partial 18S ribosomal RNA". It matches the Rfam family "Eukaryotic small subunit ribosomal RNA", at positions 592 to 976 of the family's 1831-position model. The record is from RNAcentral.